GCCCUCGUAGUAUAAACCAAUACACUGGCCUUGUAAACCAAAAAUGGAAUACCCAUCCCUAGGGCA
This 66-nucleotide transfer RNA is filed under the name Mandrillus sphinx (mandrill). RNAcentral describes it as "tRNA-Thr". Lineage: Eukaryota; Metazoa; Chordata; Mammalia; Primates; Cercopithecidae. The record is from RNAcentral.